This 430-nucleotide ribosomal RNA is filed under the name Pseudomonadota bacterium. RNAcentral describes it as "Proteobacteria bacterium partial 16S ribosomal RNA". It matches the Rfam family "Bacterial small subunit ribosomal RNA", at positions 355 to 776 of the family's 1533-position model. Lineage: Bacteria; Pseudomonadati; Pseudomonadota. The record is from RNAcentral.
UGGGGAAUAUUGGACAAUGGGGGGAACCCUGAUCCAGCCAUGCCGCGUGUGUGAAGAAGGCCUUAUGGUUGUAAAGCACUUUAAGCGAGGAGGAGGGUACUGGUAUUAAUACUACCAGGUACUGGACGUUACUCGCAGAAUAAGCACCGGCUAACUCUGUGCCAGCAGCCGCGGUAAUACAGAGGGUGCGAGCGUUAAUCGGAUUUACUGGGCGUAAAGCGUGCGUAGGCGGCUAAUUGAGUCGGAUGUGAAAUCCCCGAGCUUAACUUGGGAAUUGCAUUCGAUACUGGUUAGCUAGAGUGUGGGAGAGGAUGGUAGAAUUCCAGGUGUAGCGGUGAAAUGCGUAGAGAUCUGGAGGAAUACCGAUGGCGAAGGCAGCCAUCUGGCCUAACACUGACGCUUAGGUACGAAAGCAUGGGGAGCAAACAGG